GUGGGGAAUAUUGCGCAAUGGGGGGAAUCCUGACGCAGCGACGCCGCGUGAAGGAAGAAGGCCUUCGGGUUGUAAACUUCUUUGGCAGGGGACGAAGGAAGUGACGGUACCCUGAGAACAAGCCACGGCUAACUACGUGCCAGCAGCCGCGGUAAUACGUAGGUGGCGAGCGUUGUCCGGAAUUACUGGGUGUAAAGGGCGCGUAGGCGGGGACAUAAGUCAGAUGUGAAAGUCCAUGGCUCAACCAUGGGAUUGCAUCUGAAACUAUGUAUCUUGAGUACUGGAGAGGGAAGCGGAAUUCCCAGUGUAGCGGUGAAAUGCGUAGAGAUUGGGAGGAACACCAGUGGCGAAGGCGGCUUUCUGGACAGUAACUGACGCUGAGGCGCGAAAGCGUGGGGAGCGAACAGGAUUAGAAACCCUAGUAGUCC
This 428-nucleotide ribosomal RNA is filed under the name uncultured bacterium. RNAcentral's name for it is "bacterial SSU rRNA". It matches the Rfam family "Bacterial small subunit ribosomal RNA", at positions 354 to 796 of the family's 1533-position model. The record is from RNAcentral.